This is a long non-coding RNA of Orcinus orca (killer whale), 149 nucleotides long. RefSeq lists it as uncharacterized. Lineage: Eukaryota; Metazoa; Chordata; Mammalia; Artiodactyla; Delphinidae. The record is from RefSeq and is a predicted model, not a curated record. The transcript has 3 exons.
GAGGACAACUUUUGAUUGGCUGGAAAGAUGAUUUAAUCUCUGUGUCCCUAACAUCAAGCCGAGUUCCUGGCACAGGGAGCCUGAUGGAUCAUUAGUGACACGAUUAGAGAGAGAGUGAUCCCGAUCUCAGCUUGAGAAUAUCAAACCUA